This is a long non-coding RNA of Hyla sarda, 348 nucleotides long. RefSeq lists it as uncharacterized. The record is from RefSeq and is a predicted model, not a curated record. The transcript is spliced from 3 exons. NCBI's taxonomy places the organism in Eukaryota, Metazoa, Chordata, Amphibia, Anura, Hylidae.
AGGCACACAGAGGGGAAUUUAUCAUGACCAGCAUUUCAUACAGUUCCUGAGGAAACAUGAGCUGAAAUUACAGAAGAACAAGGAGAGGAGCAGCAGGUUCUGUAGUAGACCAUGAUACUGUGUGUGAGCGGGAAGGAGAACUCUCACUGACUGCUGGGUCUUGAUGUACAGGAGCAGGUGAAACAGCUGGGACAUGAAUACAGAUGGCAACCCUCCGAGAAUGAAGCAGAUUUCAGUAUUGAAUGUCACCCUGCAGCCAUGCCCGGUCAUCCCAAGUUAUCAGAUUUGUUGCAUUUACAGUAUUUCAUAGAGGCCUGCAGAAAAUCUUGCUGCAAAAAUAUUCCAAUA